Long non-coding RNA from Hevea brasiliensis (rubber tree), 428 nucleotides. RefSeq lists it as uncharacterized. NCBI's taxonomy places the organism in Eukaryota, Viridiplantae, Streptophyta, Magnoliopsida, Malpighiales, Euphorbiaceae. The record is from RefSeq and is a predicted model, not a curated record. The transcript is spliced from 3 exons.
AUUAUGUGUAACACCCCUGAUUUUUUAUAUAUUAUUAUUGGGCUUCGUGUAGGUAUCCUCAAUUCGCGGAAAUUCGACAGUUGUCCGGAUCUGUGAAUUUCCGGCCAGACAGACCAGCUACCGGAAAAGUCUCCGAAUUGGAUCGAGGUUUUGGCUACCCCACCAUUGUCAGGCAUCCCGAGCGCGUUCCCGAAGUCGGAAUCGGCAAAGGUGAGCCGGGACAGCCUUCUUCCUCCGCCCAGCCGCCACAGUGAUUGUCGUCAAGUCUGCCACAGGAGGAUAUUUUUUUGAGGUUAACCUGCUUUCUCCCUCGCAGGUCGAUUACUACUGUUUGUAUAAACUUGUUAAAUCUUAGAAUUUCCGCAUGUGUUAGAAAUGUUUAUUUGAUUUGGGUCUGUAAACUAAAUUAUUAUUUUUGGACCUGUAAA